Molecule: unclassified non-coding RNA, 851 nt
Filed under: Hevea brasiliensis (rubber tree)
Lineage: Eukaryota; Viridiplantae; Streptophyta; Magnoliopsida; Malpighiales; Euphorbiaceae
Source: RNAcentral
UUCAAUUACUAUAAAAAAUACUCAAGAAAAUCCAAUCUUUUCUCAACCCCAAGUUUUAAAUCCUUAAAAUUUUCACAAAUUUCAUAAUUUUUGGUGUUGUUUUUGACAGAUUUCUUUACCAAAAAGAUCAGCAAUGGAGCUAUUUCACAAAGCAAAAGCUGUUCGUUUACAGAGUCACCAUGAGAAGUACUUAACAGCUGAAGAAGAUGAAGAAUCAGUGACUCAAGAUCGUAACGGAGCAUCAAAAAACGCGAAAUGGACAGUUGAAUUUGUUGAAAAAACCGAAAAUGUUAUUCGAUUGAAGAGUUGUUAUGGGAAAUAUUUAACAGCUUCGAAUCAGCCAUUUCUUCUGGGUAUGACUGGUAGAAAAGUUCUUCAAACUUUGCCUAAUCGACUUGAUUCUUCAAUUGAAUGGGAACCCAUUAGAGAAGGACAUCAAGUUAAGCUGAGGACGAGAUAUGGGCAAUUUUUGAGGGGAAAUGGGGGUCUUCCUCCAUGGAGAAAUUCUGUUACUCAUGAUAUUCCUCAUAGGACGAAAACUCAAGAUUGGGUUCUUUGGGAUGUUCAUGUUGUUGAAAUUUUGGCGCAUUCGACGGCGGAGACGGUGGCGGAGACGACGGUGGUGGGUGGUAAUUCUGAUUCGUUUGCUUCUGAAUCGAGUUCUGCUACUACUACUGGUUCAUCAAAAUCUUACAGCUUUUCGAGACAAGAGUCAAGUGAUUCAUUGAUUAGUUCACCGCCUAAGUUGGUAGAUGGAAGGCUUAUAUAUUAUCACGUUACGGAUGAAUUUGGAGAAAUUGACGAAGGAGCCGAGGGACUUUGCAUAACUUUUAAGGGAAAUAGUGUUGAGG